UGAGGAAGUAGCUAGUCUCGCUUUUCACCAAAUUAGAAAUAUUUGGAAAAAAAGAAAGAGAAGAGGAUAUUAGAAUUUAUGUGGGCGAGACUUAAGUAUUAUAAUUGCUGGAAGUCUUGCCACAUGUAAAUCUGGUGUCUCUCUUCUUUUCCUUUUUUUUUCUAGUUUUUAAGUCUACGAGGUUUUUACGACGAUUUCUAUUACGAGGUGUUUACGACGAAAUCAUCCUACGUGGAAUUAACGAGUGUCUCCUUCGUCAUUUACUUUACGUGGUAUUUACGUCAAUUUACCUUUCGAGGUCUUUACGACGAUUCCGUCCUACGUGGAAUUAACGGGUUUCGCUUUCUUUAUUUUUUUUUACUUUCGUCGUUAUUUCCACGUAAGCUAACGAGUUCUUUACGACGAUUUUGUCCUACGUGGAAUAAACGAGGAUUACGUCGUACAUUCGACGUCAAAUUACGAUGUGAAGUGAGAAACUUCUUCCGUCAAACUUCCAGCAAUUAUAGAACCUUCAACUUUGGCGAGGUUCUUUGCUUUUCCCUUCAAAUAUUUCAUGGCUCGCUCAUACUGAUACAUCCAUCCGUAAUGUACAGGUCCACGAAGCAAUGCUUCAUAUGGGAGGUAGACAGCUAGAUGCUCCA
Molecule: long non-coding RNA, 641 nt
Filed under: Brassica rapa (field mustard)
Lineage: Eukaryota; Viridiplantae; Streptophyta; Magnoliopsida; Brassicales; Brassicaceae
Description: long non-coding RNA (BRAP_LNC004476)
Source: RNAcentral